AUACGUAGGUGGCAAGCGUUAAUCGGAAUUACUGGGCGUAAAGCGUGCGCAGGCGGUUUUGUAAGACAGAGGUGAAAUCCCCGGGCUCAACCUGGGAACUGCCUUUGUGACUGCAAGGCUAGAGUACGGCAGAGGGGGAUGGAAUUCCGCGUGUAGCAGUGAAAUGCGUAGAUAUGCGGAGGAACACCGAUGGCGAAGGAAAUCCCCUGGGCCUGUACUGACGCUCAGGCACGAAAGCGUGGGGAGCAAACAGGAUUAGAUACCCUGGUAGUCCACGCCCUAAACGAUGUCAACUGGUUGUUGGGUCUUCAUUGACUCAGUAACGAAGCUAACGCGUGAAGUUGACCGCCUGGGGAGUACGGCCGCAAGGUUGAAACUCAAAUGAAUUGACGGGG
This 395-nucleotide ribosomal RNA is filed under the name uncultured bacterium. Its description in RNAcentral is "partial 16S ribosomal RNA". It matches the Rfam family "Bacterial small subunit ribosomal RNA", at positions 523 to 918 of the family's 1533-position model. The record is from RNAcentral.